GGUAAUACAGAGGGUGCAAGCGUUAAUCGGAAUUACUGGGCGUAAAGCGCGCGUAGGUGGUUCGUUAAGUUGGAUGUGAAAUCCCCGGGCUCAACCUGGGAACUGCAUUCAAAACUGACGAGCUAGAGUAUGGUAGAGGGUGGUGGAAUUUCCUGUGUAGCGGUGAAAUGCGUAGAUAUAGGAAGGAACACCAGUGGCGAAGGCGACCACCUGGACUGAUACUGACACUGAGGUGCGAAAGCGUGGGGAGCAAACAGGAUUA
RNAcentral lists this ribosomal RNA (262 nucleotides) under Pseudomonas lini. RNAcentral describes it as "partial 16S ribosomal RNA". It matches the Rfam family "Bacterial small subunit ribosomal RNA", at positions 519 to 780 of the family's 1533-position model. The record is from RNAcentral. Lineage: Bacteria; Pseudomonadati; Pseudomonadota; Gammaproteobacteria; Pseudomonadales; Pseudomonadaceae.